UACGUAGGGGGCAAGCGUUAUCCGGAAUCAUUGGGCGUAAAGCGCGUGUAGGCGGUUCCGUAAGUCCGCUCUGAAAGCCCAGGGCUCAACCCUGGGAGGCGGGUGGAUACUACGGAACUGGAGUACGGAAGAGGAGAUUGGAAUUCCUGGUGUAGCGGUGAAAUGCGCAGAGUAUCAGGAGGAACACCAACAGCGAAGGCAGAUCUCUGGGACGUUACUGACGCUGAGACGCGAAAGCGUGGGGAGCAAACAGG
This 254-nucleotide ribosomal RNA is filed under the name uncultured bacterium. RNAcentral describes it as "partial 16S ribosomal RNA". It matches the Rfam family "Bacterial small subunit ribosomal RNA", at positions 524 to 776 of the family's 1533-position model. The record is from RNAcentral.